This 295-nucleotide signal recognition particle RNA is filed under the name Saimiri boliviensis boliviensis (Bolivian squirrel monkey). RNAcentral's name for it is "Metazoan signal recognition particle RNA (ENSSBOG00000016223.1)". It matches the Rfam family "Metazoan signal recognition particle RNA". Rfam says of the family: The signal recognition particle (SRP) is a universally conserved ribonucleoprotein. The record is from RNAcentral. Lineage: Eukaryota; Metazoa; Chordata; Mammalia; Primates; Cebidae.
GCUAGGUAUGGUGGUACGCACCUGCAGUCCCAGCUCCUUGGGAGGUUGGCGAGAGGAUCGCUUGAGCCCAGGAGUUCUGGACAGUGGUGUGCUAAUGCCAGCUGGGUUUUUGAACUAAGUUCAGCAUCAGUGUGGUGACCUCCCAUGAGCAGGUAACAACUAGAUUGCCUAAGAACGGGUGAACUGACCCAGGUGGGAAAUGGAAUAGGUCACUCCAGUGCUGAUCAGUAGUGGGAUCACACUUAUGAAUAGCUACUGCACUCCAGUCUGGGCAGCGUAGGGAGACCCUGUCUCU